GUGGGGAAUAUUGGACAAUGGGCGAAAGCCUGAUCCAGCCAUGCCGCGUGAGUGAUGAAGGCCCUAGGGUUGUAAAGCUCUUUUACCCGGGAUGAUAAUGACAGUACCGGGAGAAUAAGCUCCGGCUAACUUCGUGCCAGCAGCCGCGGUAAUACGAGGGGAGCUAGCGUUGUUCGGAAUUACUGGGCGUAAAGCGCGCGUAGGCGGUUUUUUAAGUCAGAGGUGAAAGCCCGGGGCUCAACCCCGGAAUAGCCUUUGAAACUGGAAAACUAGAAUCUUGGAGAGGUCAGUGGAAUUCCGAGUGUAGAGGUGAAAUUCGUAGAUAUUCGGAAGAACACCAGUGGCGAAGGCGACUGACUGGACAAGUAUUGACGCUGAGGUGCGAAAGCGUGGGGAGCAAACAGGAUUAGAAACCCGAGUAGUCC
RNAcentral lists this ribosomal RNA (425 nucleotides) under uncultured bacterium. RNAcentral's name for it is "partial 16S ribosomal RNA". It matches the Rfam family "Bacterial small subunit ribosomal RNA", at positions 354 to 796 of the family's 1533-position model. The record is from RNAcentral.